CGUUUGGUGGCCGAGUCAGAGGCGAUAGACUGUAGAUCUAUUAACGGAAUUAAGUUUUCCCAACGA
Molecule: transfer RNA, 66 nt
Filed under: Isara chinensis
Lineage: Eukaryota; Metazoa; Mollusca; Gastropoda; Neogastropoda; Mitridae
Description: tRNA-Tyr
Source: RNAcentral